Molecule: ribosomal RNA, 574 nt
Filed under: Vishniacozyma victoriae
Lineage: Eukaryota; Fungi; Basidiomycota; Tremellomycetes; Tremellales; Bulleribasidiaceae
Description: partial large subunit ribosomal RNA
Rfam family: Eukaryotic large subunit ribosomal RNA
Source: RNAcentral
UGAACCGGGAUGAGCUCAAAUUUAAAAUCUGGCGUCUUUCAGGCGUCCGAGUUGUAAUCUAUAGAGGCGUUUUCCGCGCCGGACCGCGUCCAAGUCUCUUGGAAUAGAGUAUCAAAGAGGGUGACAAUCCCGUACUUGACGCGACAACCGGUGCUCUGUGAUACGUUCUCAAUGAGUCGAGUUGUUUGGGAAUGCAGCUCUAAAUGGGUGGUAAAUUCCAUCUAAGGCUAAAUAUUGGCGAGAGACCGAUAGCGAACAAGUACCGUGAGGGAAAGAUGAAAAGCACUUUGGAAAGAGAGUUAAACAGCACGUGAAAUUGUUAAAAGGGAAACGAUUGAAGUCAGUCGUGUGAAAGGUAUUCAGCCGUCUCUGGCGGUGUAUUUGCCUUUCACGGGUCAACAUCAGUUUGAUCCGGUAGAAAAAGGCGGGAGGAAGGUGGCACCCUCGGGUGUGUUAUAGCCUCCUGUCAUAUGUGCCGGACCAGACUGAGGAACGCAGCUUGCCGCAAGGCCGGGGUUCGCCCACGUACAAGCUUAGGAUGUUGACAUAAUGGCUUUAAACGACCCGUCUUGAA